GAUGAACGCUCGCGGCAGGCCUAAUACAUGCAAGUCGAACGGGAUCCAGAUCAAAGCUUGCUUUGGUCUGGUGAGAGUGGCGCACGGGUGCGUAACGCGUGAGCAACCUACCCUUGUCAGGGGGAUAGCCCGGCGAAAGUCGGAUUAAUACCGCAUGACAUCAUUGAGAGGCAUCUUUCGAUGAUCAAAGAUUUAUCGGACAAGGAUGGGCUCGCGUGACAUUAGCUAGUUGGUAAGGUAACGGCUUACCAAGGCUGCGAUGUCUAGGGGCUCUGAGAGGAGAAUCCCCCACACUGGUACUGAGACACGGACCAGACUCCUACGGGAGGCAGCAGUAAGGAAUAUUGGUCAAUGGACGGAAGUCUGAACCAGCCAUGCCGCGUGCAGGAGGACGGCCCUAUGGGUUGUAAACUGCUUUUAUACGGGAACAAACGUCGGUACGUGUACCGGUCUGAGUGUACCGCAAGAAUAAGGAUCGGCUAACUCCGUG
Molecule: ribosomal RNA, 490 nt
Filed under: uncultured bacterium
Lineage: Bacteria
Description: partial 16S ribosomal RNA
Rfam family: Bacterial small subunit ribosomal RNA
Source: RNAcentral